RNAcentral lists this ribosomal RNA (492 nucleotides) under uncultured bacterium. Its description in RNAcentral is "partial 16S ribosomal RNA". It matches the Rfam family "Bacterial small subunit ribosomal RNA", at positions 29 to 507 of the family's 1533-position model. The record is from RNAcentral.
AGUGAACGCUGGCGGUAGGCCUAACACAUGCAAGUCGAACGGCAGCACAGUAAGAGCUUGCUCUUACGGGUGGCGAGUGGCGGACGGGUGAGGAAUACAUCGGAAUCUACUUUUUCGUGGGGGAUAACGUAGGGAAACUUACGCUAAUACCUCAUACGACCUACGGGUGAAAUCAUGGGAUCUUCUGACCUUGCGCGAUUGAAUGAGCCGAUGUCGGAUUAGCUAGUUGGCGGGGUAAAGUCCCACCAAGGCGACGAUCCGUAGCUGGUCUGAGAGGAUGAUCAGCCACACUGGAACUGAGACACGGUCCAGACUCCGACGGGAGGCAGCAGUGGGGAAUAUUGGACAAUGGGCGAAAGCAUGAUACAGACAUACCGAGUGGGUGAAGAAGGACUUCGGGUUGUAAAGCCCUUUUGUUGGGAAAGAAAAGAAGCAGGUUAAUACCCCGCUGUUAUGACGGUACCCAAAGAAUAAGCACCGGCUAACUUCGUG